GAUGAACGCUGGCGGCGUGCCUAAUACAUGCAAGUCGAACGAGUUCUCGUUGAUGAUCGGUGCUUGCACCGAGAUUCAACAUGGAACGAGUGGCGGACGGGUGAGUAACACGUGGGUAACCUGCCCUUAAGUGGGGGAUAACAUUUGGAAACAGAUGCUAAUACCGCAUAGAUCCAAGAACCGCAUGGUUCUUGGCUGAAAGAUGGCGUAAGCUAUCGCUUUUGGAUGGACCCGCGGCGUAUUAGCUAGUUGGUGAGGUAAUGGCUCACCAAGGCGAUGAUACGUAGCCGAACUGAGAGGUUGAUCGGCCACAUUGGGACUGAGACACGGCCCAAACUCCUACGGGAGGCAGCAGUAGGGAAUCUUCCACAAUGGACGCAAGUCUGAUGGAGCAACGCCGCGUGAGUGAAGAAGGCUUUCGGGUCGUAAAACUCUGUUGUUGGAGAAGAAUGGUCGGCAGAGUAACUGUUGUCGGCGUGACGGUAUCCAACCAGAAAGCCACGGCUAACUACGUGCCAGCAGCCGCGGUAAUACGUAGGUGGCAAGCGUUAUCCGGAUUUAUUGGGCGUAAAGCGAGCGCAGGCGGUUUUUUAAGUCUGAUGUGAAAGCCCUCGGCUUAACCGAGGAAGCGCAUCGGAAACUGGGAAACUUGAGUGCAGAAGAGGACAGUGGAACUCCAUGUGUAGCGGUGAAAUGCGUAGAUAUAUGGAAGAACACCAGUGGCGAAGGCGGCUGUCUGGUCUGUAACUGACGCUGAGGCUCGAAAGCAUGGGUAGCGAACAGGAUUAGAUACCCUGGUAGUCCAUGCCGUAAACGAUGAAUGCUAGGUGUUGGAGGGUUUCCGCCCUUCAGUGCCGCAGCUAACGCAUUAAGCAUUCCGCCUGGGGAGUACGACCGCAAGGUUGAAACUCAAAGGAAUUGACGGGGGCCCGCACAAGCGGUGGAGCAUGUGGUUUAAUUCGAAGCAACGCGAAGAACCUUACCAGGUCUUGACAUCUUUUGAUCACCUGAGAGAUCAGGUUUCCCCUUCGGGGGCAAAAUGACAGGUGGUGCAUGGUUGUCGUCAGCUCGUGUCGUGAGAUGUUGGGUUAAGUCCCGCAACGAGCGCAACCCUUAUGACUAGUUGCCAGCAUUUAGUUGGGCACUCUAGUAAGACUGCCGGUGACAAACCGGAGGAAGGUGGGGAUGACGUCAAAUCAUCAUGCCCCUUAUGACCUGGGCUACACACGUGCUACAAUGGAUGGUACAACGAGUUGCGAGACCGCGAGGUCAAGCUAAUCUCUUAAAGCCAUUCUCAGUUCGGACUGUAGGCUGCAACUCGCCUACACGAAGUCGGAAUCGCUAGUAAUCGCGGAUCAGCACGCCGCGGUGAAUACGUUCCCGGGCCUUGUACACACCGCCCGUCACACCAUGAGAGUUUGUAACACCCGAAGCCGGUGGCGUAACCCUUUUAGGGAGCGAGCCGUCUAAGGUGGGACAAAUGAUUAGGGUGA
RNAcentral lists this ribosomal RNA (1493 nucleotides) under Lactobacillus sp. L02. Its description in RNAcentral is "bacterial SSU rRNA". It matches the Rfam family "Bacterial small subunit ribosomal RNA". Lineage: Bacteria; Bacillati; Bacillota; Bacilli; Lactobacillales; Lactobacillaceae. The record is from RNAcentral.